GACGAGCGCUGGCGGCGUGCUUAACACAUGCAAGUCGAACGGAAAGGCCCUGCUUUUGUGGGGUGCUCGAGUGGCGAACGGGUGAGUAACACGUGAGUAACCUGCCCUUGACUUUGGGAUAACUUCAGGAAACUGGGGCUAAUACCGGAUAGGAGCUCCUGCUGCAUGGUGGGGGUUGGAAAGUUUCGGCGGUUGGGGAUGGACUCGCGGCUUAUCAGCUUGUUGGUGGGGUAGUGGCUUACCAAGGCUUUGACGGGUAGCCGGCCUGAGAGCGUGACCGGCCACAUUGGGACUGCGAUACGCCCCAGACUCCUACGGGAGGCAGCAGUGGGGAAUAUGGCACAAUGGGCGGAAGCCUGAGGCAGCAACGCCGCGUGCGGGAUGACGUCCUUCGGGUUGUAAACCGCUUUCGCCUGUGACGAAGCGUGAGUGACGGUAAUGGGUAAAGAAGCACCGGCUAACUACGUG
Molecule: ribosomal RNA, 468 nt
Filed under: uncultured bacterium
Lineage: Bacteria
Description: partial 16S ribosomal RNA
Rfam family: Bacterial small subunit ribosomal RNA
Source: RNAcentral